RNAcentral lists this ribosomal RNA (345 nucleotides) under Triticum aestivum (bread wheat). RNAcentral's name for it is "partial small subunit ribosomal RNA". The record is from RNAcentral. Lineage: Eukaryota; Viridiplantae; Streptophyta; Magnoliopsida; Poales; Poaceae.
AUGGCGGCGGCCGGCUCGAGCGAGCCUGGCGCGGCAGGCGGAAGCAGCGGGGAGCGGCGGAUGCGGGUAUUUUCGUCCUCGCCAGUUACAGUACAAUUCCUAGGUUUGGUCAAUGUCUCUGGAGCUAUGAAUGAUGUUGUGCACAUCCAAAUCCAAGCAAUGCUGUUCCAUCUUACUGAUCUCGUGCAGAAUCUCCGUUUAGCUCAUUGCUACAUCUCCAUUCUGCUCGUCGGGCCUCGUCAAGGUUAUGUGCAGUGUGUCUGUGCCAUUAAAGAAUUUAAUAUUUCUUUGAACUUCUGGCCUAGAGAUUUAUUUCAUUUGGUCAAACUGGUUCCGAACUUCUGA